This is an RNA transcript of Cloeon dipterum, 2079 nucleotides long. It is a transcript of the gene named Decapping enzyme, scavenger, with no coding region annotated. NCBI's taxonomy places the organism in Eukaryota, Metazoa, Arthropoda, Insecta, Ephemeroptera, Baetidae. The transcript has 6 exons. The record is from RefSeq and is a predicted model, not a curated record.
CGACGUCUUAUUAACACUCGUUCAUUUCCCGCUCUAAUUUAGCAUCGCUAGGGACGCCAGGACCUGACAAGCCAAGUUCUUUUCAACUUCGGAAUCCAGAAACCCGUAAUAUCUCAACAAUUAUGGAGCCUAAAGCUACGGAAACUGAAGCCGGAGUUUCCACCCAGGAAACGAGUGUUUCAGUUCCUGAAACCGCUGAAACCUUUGACUUUACCAAAUUCAGCGUGCAGAAGGUGUUGAACGAGGAUUGCCGCUCGAAGGUGAUCUUCCUUCAAGGAAAAUUUGAGGAGAAGGAGGGUGAUACAGUCGUCAUCCUAGAGAAGCAAGUCUUCAAUAGCGAGAAGAUACAAGGGAUCUUCACCGCAUGCACUGCAGCGAAGACAAAGGAAAAUGACAUCUACUACAAAUUCGUAGGGCAGCCAAACAACGAGGACUUUACAGGCGUGAAAAUCGACGUGGUUCACCCAGCAACUACCAAGCACAUUGAGAAGUACCUCAAGAAAAAAAUCUUCCUAGUAGAAGAAACUCCAGAAUUGUACCGCAACGUGGUGCUUCCAUAUCUGAAAGAGUGUGGAUUCAGUCUGCAGUGGGUUUACAACAUUCUUGAACGCAAAGCUGAAGUGGAAAAGAUCGAGUUUGAGGAUGUUGACCCAAAGAUUGGCUUCACGCUUGUCCAUGAUGACAAGUGGGACGGCGUGACUGUGGACAAUCUCCACCUGCUUGCAAUUUCCAGGGACAGGGAAAUCAGGAGCCUGAGAGACCUAAGGGGUGCACACAUUGCCCUUCUUGAGAAUAUUCAGCAGAACGCAUCGGAGACCAUUGAGAAGAAGUUCAACCUGCCACGGAAUAGACAGGUAGCCUACUUCCAUUACAGGCCAUCCUUUGAGCAUCUGCACGUUCACAUCAAAGUGAUUGAAUUCGAAGCUCCUGGUACGCACGUGGGAAGGGCCCACCUGUUGAGUGAUGUCAUCGCCAACCUCAAAGCGUCUUCGGACUACUACGCCAAGUCCACCCUUGGCUACACCCUGUCAGAAGCCAGCUCCUUGGCUUCUGCACUCAAUUUGUGUUGAAGUUCGACCCAGGUUGGCUGUGUGCCAAGUCCACAUUAGUGGACGCCAACUACCGAGACUUGAAGUCCUGGUAGUUGGCUCAGAGCAAAUUCGCGUCAUCUUCGGAGAUGAUCAGGCUGUGGAUUUGUUUAUUGACAGUGCCAAUUUUAUCAAAAGUGGGACAAUUGGGACUGUUGUCAACUGGACUCCAACCCAUGUUGAGGUUCGGUUGCGGACAGCUUCAGCUUACAUUAAGCAGGAGUUAACCGCUUUCAAAACUGCAAGAGCACCUCUUGCAUUGAAUGCAGGGGUGAAGUACGAUUUGCAGUGCAGAUCGUGCCUUGCAGUGGUUGCUCAGGGUCUUUGCUUUGGCCGGAUCCUUGAGAAGCCUCAGGAGAAUGACGUGUCGUUUUUCUGCCAUGGGCAUAGCAGGCUUCAACCGAAGCCCCGUGCUGAUGACUUACUCCAUGACGUGUCAAUAUUUGACAUACACGGAGUGAGCAACGUGUGCAUAUCAUGCGCGCAACAACUGGGCUCAGCUUACCAGGAUAGAACUUCUAUUUGGAAAUUUGCAGUUAUUUGGAGAGACAUCAACUUGACUCCCUCGGACACUCUUGAUUUAUCCGCAGCUGCACUGGCCAAUUUUUCGUCAAUUUUGGUGGAUGCAUGCAGCGGUCUGCCAAUGUGCAGUGUCAUUCUGAUUUCAAUCAACGACGGUUCACAACCUCCGGUUCCACUGAAACUCUUUUCUGCACCCCUCUUCGUGUCUACCACUGAAUAUCCUGCAGCGUUGCCUCCACCGAGGGCAGCCUUGGGAGUUUUAAUGGAGGAUCAGCUGGACAAGCAAGCUGUCAGUUUGCCAAUGCCCCAGGUGGUUCUACUUCGAGGCUUGGAAGAACUGAAGCGUAAUGCAGCCUUUCUAAAUUCGCCCUGCCUCACUUUUGUUUACAUCUGAGCUGGGCAAGUACAGCCCUGUUUUAUUUAUUUGUCUAAGGAGAAUUUAAACAAUUAAAUUUAAUUUGGGUCUCAA